UCGCUUCCCGGAAGCAAGCGUCACGGACUUUACGGCUGGAGGUUUUCCUUCCCUAGUUUCUUAGUCGGAGGGCCUGGUGCCUGAAUAGUUGCGCAUUUGGUUCUGAUGGAGGGAAUUGUUGCGUCUGCGAGGCCCUGUGAUAUUUGUACCAACUGAUGCAGAAGCAAUGGUGGGUGAAACUGCUGGCCUCUUAGCACAAAAUAAAAAGCAUCAGCACCAAACUCAGCAAGUCACCAAAGUGAUCUAGAAGUAAUUUCUUGACUACCAUGCUCUUGCAGUGAAAAAAAAGCGGGAGAGAACCUGUUUCCCAUUGUCUUUGAUGGAGCAGUAAAAAUGUUAUUAAAUGUCA
Molecule: long non-coding RNA, 349 nt
Organism: Hyaena hyaena (striped hyena)
Lineage: Eukaryota; Metazoa; Chordata; Mammalia; Carnivora; Hyaenidae
Exons: 2
Source: RefSeq, a predicted model, not a curated record